UUCCAGCUUGCCCAGCGGGUAGACCUGCUCGAUGCCAGGGUCUUAGCGCAGAUGAGCAUCGCCUAAUCUACAGAGGCUCUUUGCUUUCCGCGCCGCGCCACGACGAGGUAGCAAGUACCUCCUUACAGCGGCUCCCUGGCUCUGCUAGACAAGCUGACUGUGCGUUCUACAUACGACUGUAUAUGAUGAAAGCAGGAAGCUCAAGACAUGGACCUACCAUGGGUCAUGUGGUAGACUACUAUUGAAUCUGACCUAUCCCUUCAGGCUCCUUUUUAUCCCUAGCUCCCUGCUCUGGCACUGUUUUGAAGGCUGUGGGGGGAGCUGCCCUGAAGCUUACUCCUGCCUCUCUGGUUCCCCUUGCUUUCCCUGAUUCUGUAUGGCUACCACAUAAGCCAUCCUCCCUUCCAUGCGUCUCUGUGCCAUAGACAGCUGGUGUGAACUCUGCCGUGCCUUCCCUGUGUGAAAGCCUGAAAUCCUUCUGUUAACAAGAGCCAAAAUAGAUAUUUCUUCCCUUAAGUUGCUUUUGUCAGGCAUUUUGCUCACAGCAGCACAAAAAAAGCUAACAUGGUCUUUAACAGUCCUGCCUGCCAUGGAGAGAGGAGGCCUUUCUGGCUCCCUCAAGUCUAGGUUGUCCGUGAUGAUUUACCUGGCCAGUGGAUGCUAAAGGAUGCUACAGUCUGGGAGUCCUGGGUCACACGAAGCCUUGGCUUCUUUCUGACUGUCUCAGAACACUUGCUCUGGGGAAAGCCAGGCCAACAAAGAAUUCCACGUCUCUGAAAUUGCCAUGCUGGAAGGUAGCUGGGCUCCAACCUUUCUAGUCUUCAGCCACUCAAGCCUUCUCACUUGAGUACCAGGUAAUCAGGAAGCCAAGAGAAGGAAUCCUGCCAAACUCAAGUUACUAGUAUAUGAGCAAAAAAAGUAAGGAUACUUGUUUAAGCCAGUAAGUUUGGGAGUGACUGAUUACACAACAGAAAACUAACAUAUCCUGUAACUCACUUUUAACAAGGACAAGAAGUCUAGUGAUGUAGACCCAAUUAAGAAUUCAUCAAGAAAGGGCUGGUGAGCCGGGAGGUGGUGGCUCACACCUGUAAUCCCAGCACUCUGGGAAUCAGAGGCAGGAUUCUGAGUUCAAGGCCAGCCUGGUCUACAGAGUGAGUUCCAGGACAGCCAGGGCUAUACAGAGAAACCCUGUCUCGAAAAAAACCAAAUCCAAAAAAAAAAAAGGAAAGGGCUGGUGAGACUGGGCAUGGUGGUACAUGACUUCAAUGCCAGCACUGGGGAGGCGGAGGCAGGUGGAACUUUGUGAAACCAGCUUGGUCUACAGAGUGAGUUCCAGGACAAAUCAGAGAUACAUAAUAGACCCUAUUAAAAAGAUUUUUUUAAUUAAAAAAAAAACAGAAAGGGUUGGCUCAGUGGGUAAAGAUGCUUGCUGUGUAAACCUGGCAACUUAAGUCCAAUCCCUGAAACCUCCAUAAAGGUAGAAGGAGAGAACUGACUCCACAACAUUGUCUUCAGACCCCCACACUCAAUUCCAUAGCAUCAGCACACACACAAUAACAAAUUAAAAAAAAAUUCAUCCAGGUGUAGUUGCACAUGCUAUUUUAAUUCCAGCACUUGGGAGGCAGGGGUAGGUGGAUCUCUGAGUUCAAAGCCAGCCUGGCAUACAAAGUGAGUUCCUGGCAAGUCAGGGCUAUGUAGAAGAUCCUGUCUCAAAAAAAAAAAUCAGUAUGAUCAUAAAAUAAAAUAUAACACACAGCUAUGUGUGGGCUAUGUGUCAUGGCUGCUCACUCCUCUGAAAGUGUGUCUUUCGAACUCCCAUUAGUAAUGUAUAAAAUGUCUUGAGAAAAAAGCAAGUUGGAGACUGCCCUGAGCUUAAAACUACUUGCAGACGGCCCAGGUUUAGUUCCCAGCACCCACCUGGUGGUUCAUAAGUGGCGUCGAUUACUCCAGCUCUGGGGGAUCUAGAUGACCAGACAAGAUCUUCUGAUCUCUUCAUGUACCAAGUAUGCACAUAGCACACAUACAUACAUUCAGGCGAAACACUCAUACACAGAAAAAUAAAAUACAUCUCAACUGGGGGAAAAGCAAGUCAGGGAAUAAAUGUUUACUUCGGCUUAUAGUCCCAGAAGGGAUACAGUCCAUCACAGCAGACAAGGCACGGCAGGAAUGUGAAGGUGGCCUGGCACUCAGGAAACAGAAAGAUCACACUUCAUCCAUACAUAGGUAGCAGAGGGAAAUGACAGGAAGUGGGGCCAGGCCAUACAACAUCAAAGCCUGACCUAAAGACAGCAAGCCUUCCCUUCCUAAAGGUCCCAUAAUCUUCCCAGUGCUGCCAUCAGCUGGAGACCAAGUGUUCAGAUACCUGAGCCUAUGGGGGAUUUUUCACACUCACACCACAACUCCACAAGACUUUGUACCAAGAUUCAUGCUACCCUUUCUUCACUGCUCCUUCUAGGGCAACCCUUUCCAUGUCUCCGAAAUGUUAAUGCUAAUGACAAACAAAACCAGCCUUUAACCUGGAAUGCUUUAAGUCUAGACUGUAAAUAAAAGGAUCAUCCUGAACUGCCUGGUUAUGAACCUCCAUACAGGUGUCCAGGAACUGAACCUGGGUUCUCUGAGCCUAUUGGCAUUUGUGAUGGUUUGAAUGAGAAUGGUCCCCAUUGGCUCAUAUACUUGAAGACUUGGUCCUCAAUUGGUGGAACUGUUUGGGAUGGAUUAGAAGGUGUGGCCUUGUUGGGAAAGGUGUGUCACUGGGCUCUAAAGUUCCACAAGCUCACGCCAGGUCCAGUCUCAUGCACUCUCUGCCUCUGCCUGGAGAUCCCCAUGUAAGCUCUUAGUUACUGCUCCAGUGCUGUGCCUGCCUGCUACCACACUUCCUGUCAUGAUGAUAAUAGACUCACCCUCUGAAACUGUAAUUAAGCUCCCAAUUAAAUGCUUUCUUUUGUACAUUG
Apodemus sylvaticus (European woodmouse) is the source of this 2951-nucleotide long non-coding RNA. RefSeq lists it as uncharacterized. NCBI's taxonomy places the organism in Eukaryota, Metazoa, Chordata, Mammalia, Rodentia, Muridae. The record is from RefSeq and is a predicted model, not a curated record. The transcript is spliced from 2 exons.